UACGAAGGGAGCUAGCGUUGUUCGGAAUUACUGGGCGUAAAGCGCCCGUAGGCGGGCUGUUAAGUCAGGGGUGAAAUCCCGGAGCUCAACCUCGGAAUUGCCUCCGAAACUGGCAGGCUUGAGUUCGGGAGAGGUGGGUGGAAUUCCCAGUGUAGAGGUGAAAUUCGUAGAUAUUGGGAAGAACACCGGUGGCGAAGGCGGCGCCCUGGACCGGUACUGACGCUGAGGCGCGAAAGCGUGGGGAGCAAACAGG
RNAcentral lists this ribosomal RNA (253 nucleotides) under uncultured bacterium. RNAcentral's name for it is "partial 16S ribosomal RNA". It matches the Rfam family "Bacterial small subunit ribosomal RNA", at positions 524 to 776 of the family's 1533-position model. The record is from RNAcentral.